GCAUCGAUGAAGAACGCAGCGAAAUGCGAUAAGUAAUGUGAAUUGCAGAAUUCAGUGAAUCAUCGAAUCUUUGAACGCAUCUUGCGCUCCUUGGUAUUCCGAGGAGCAUGCCUGUUUGAGUGUCAU
Molecule: ribosomal RNA, 126 nt
Filed under: Agaricus bitorquis
Lineage: Eukaryota; Fungi; Basidiomycota; Agaricomycetes; Agaricales; Agaricaceae
Also listed under: 1 other name
Description: 5.8S ribosomal RNA
Rfam family: 5.8S ribosomal RNA
About the family: 5.8S ribosomal RNA (5.8S rRNA) is a component of the large subunit of the eukaryotic ribosome. It is transcribed by RNA polymerase I as part of the 45S precursor that also contains 18S and 28S rRNA.
Source: RNAcentral